This 495-nucleotide ribosomal RNA is filed under the name uncultured bacterium. RNAcentral's name for it is "partial 16S ribosomal RNA". It matches the Rfam family "Bacterial small subunit ribosomal RNA", at positions 28 to 507 of the family's 1533-position model. The record is from RNAcentral.
GACGAACGCUGGCGGCGUGCCUAAUACAUGCAAGUAGAACGCUGAAGGAGGAGCUUGCUCUUCUGGAUGAGUUGCGAACGGGUGAGUAACGCGUAGGUAACCUGCCUGGUAGCGGGGGAUAACUAUUGGAAACGAUAGCUAAUACCGCAUAACAGUAGAUGUUGCAUGACAUUUACUUAAAAGGUGCAAUUGCAUCACUACCAGAUGGACCUGCGUUGUAUUAGCUAGUUGGUGGGGUAACGGCUCACCAAGGCGACGAUACAUAGCCGACCUGAGAGGGUGAUCGGCCACACUGGGACUGAGACACGGCCCAGACUCCUACGGGAGGCAGCAGUAGGGAAUCUUCGGCAAUGGACGGAAGUCUGACCGAGCAACGCCGCGUGAGUGAAGAAGGUUUUCGGAUCGUAAAGCUCUGUUGUAAGAGAAGAACGAGUGUGAGAGUGGAAAGUUCACACUGUGGCGGUAUCUUACCAGAAAGGGACGGCUAACUACGUG